AUACGGAGGGUGCAAGCGUUACUCGGAAUCACUGGGCGUAAAGCGCGCGCAGGCGGUCUUUUAAGUUGGAUGUGAAAGCCUACGGCUCAACCGUAGAACUGCAUCCAAAACUGUCAAGCUAGAGUCUGGGAGGGGAAGAUGGAAUUAGUUGUGUAGGGGUAAAAUCCGUAGAGAUAACUAGGAAUACCAAAAGCGAAGGCGAUCUUCUGGAACAGUACUGACACUGAGGCGCGAAAGCGUGGGGAGCAAACAGGAUUAGAAACCCGAGUAGUCC
This 274-nucleotide ribosomal RNA is filed under the name uncultured bacterium. Its description in RNAcentral is "partial 16S ribosomal RNA". It matches the Rfam family "Bacterial small subunit ribosomal RNA", at positions 523 to 796 of the family's 1533-position model. The record is from RNAcentral.